GAGGAAUAAGCAUCGGCUAACUCCGUGCCAGCAGCCGCGGUAAUACGGGGGAUGCAAGCGUUAUCCGGAAUCAUUGGGCGUAAAGCGCCUGUAGGUUGUUUAUCAAGUCUGUUGUUAAAGACUAGGGCUUAACCCUAGAAAAGCAAUGGAAACUGAUAGACUAGAGUAUGGCAGGGGUAGAGGGAAUUUCUAGUGUAGCGGUGAAAUGCGUAGAUAUUAGAAAGAACACCGGUGGCGAAAGCGCUCUACUGGACCAUUACUGACACUCAGAGGCGAAAGCUAGGGUAGCAAAAGGGAUUAGAUACCCCUGUAGUCCUAGCCGUAAACGAUGGAUACUAGAUGUUGUGCUUCAUGUACAGUAUCCUAGCUAACGCGUUAAGUAUCCCGCCUGGGGAGUACGCUCGCAAGGGUGAAACUCAAAGGAAUUGACGGGGGCCCGCACAAGCGGUGGAGCAUGUGGUUUAAUUCGAUGCAACGCGAAGAACCUUACCAGGGCUUGACAUACUACAAAUUUUUUGGAAACAGAAAAGUGCCUUCGGGAAUGUAGAUACAGGUGGUGCAUGGCUGUCGUCAGCUCGUGUCGUGAGAUGUUGGGUUAAGUCCCGCAACGAGCGCAACCCUUAUUUUUAGUUACCAAUUCGUUGGGUUCUCUAGAAAGACUGCCGGUGACAAAYCGGAGGAAGGUGAGGAKGACGUCAAGUCAGCAUGCCCCUUAUGUCCUGGGYUACACACGUGCUACAAUGGUUAAGACAAAGAGUSGCUAGCUUGCAAAAGUUUGCUAAUSUCAUAAACUUAGCCUAAGUUCAGAUUGUAGGCUGCAACUCGCCUACAUGAAG
RNAcentral lists this ribosomal RNA (836 nucleotides) under Haptophyta environmental samples. Its description in RNAcentral is "bacterial SSU rRNA". It matches the Rfam family "Bacterial small subunit ribosomal RNA", at positions 481 to 1325 of the family's 1533-position model. The record is from RNAcentral. Lineage: Eukaryota; Haptophyta.